Molecule: ribosomal RNA, 241 nt
Filed under: uncultured bacterium
Lineage: Bacteria
Description: partial 16S ribosomal RNA
Rfam family: Bacterial small subunit ribosomal RNA
Source: RNAcentral
CGUUAUCCGGAAUUAUUGGGCGUAAAGGGUGCGUAGGCGGCAUGAUAAGUUAUUGGCGGCAAAUCGAGGCUCAACCUCGUGGAAACUGAUAAUACUGUCUUGCUUGAGUGCAGAAGAGGUUAACGGAACUCCAUGUGGAGCGGUAAAAUGUGUAGAUAUAUGGAAGAACAUCAAUAACGGCGAAGGCAGUUAACUAGUCUGUUACUGACGUUGAGGCACGAAAGCGUGGGGAGCAAAAAGG